This 757-nucleotide ribosomal RNA is filed under the name uncultured Bacilli bacterium. RNAcentral's name for it is "bacterial SSU rRNA". It matches the Rfam family "Bacterial small subunit ribosomal RNA", at positions 28 to 746 of the family's 1533-position model. The record is from RNAcentral. Lineage: Bacteria; Bacillati; Bacillota; Bacilli.
GACGAACGCUGGCGGCGUGCCUAGUACAUGCAAGUCGAGCGAGCUUGCCUAGAUGAAUUUGGUGCUUGCACCAAAUGAAACUAGAUACAAGCGAGCGGCGGACGGGUGAGUAACACGUGGGUAACCUGCCCAAGAGACUGGAUAACACCUGGAAACAGAUGCUAAUACCGGAUAACAACACUAGACGCAUGUCUAGAGUUUAAAAGAUGGUUCUGCUAUCACUCUUGGAUGGACCUGCGGUGCAUUAGCUAGUUGGUAAGGUAACGGCUUACCAAGGCAAUGAUGCAUAGCCGAGUUGAGAGACUGAUCGGCCACAUUGGGACUGAGACACGGCCCAAACUCCUACGGGAGGCAGCAGUAGGGAAUCUUCCACAAUGGACGCAAGUCUGAUGGAGCAACGCCGCGUGAGUGAAGAAGGGUUUCGGCUCGUAAAGCUCUGUUGGUAGUGAAGAAAGAUAGAGGUAGUAACUGGCCUUUAUUUGACGGUAAUUACUUAGAAAGUCACGGCUAACUACGUGCCAGCAGCCGCGGUAAUACGUAGGUGGCAAGCGUUGUCCGGAUUUAUUGGGCGUAAAGCGAGUGCAGGCGGUUCAAUAAGUCUGAUGUGAAAGCCUUCGGCUCAACCGGAGAAUUGCAUCAGAAACUGUUGAACUUGAGUGCAGAAGAGGAGAGUGGAACUCCAUGUGUAGCGGUGGAAUGCGUAGAUAUAUGGAAGAACACCAGUGGUGAAGGCGGCUCUCUGGUCUGCAACUGACGC